AGCAGCCGCGGCAAUUCCAGCUCCAAUAGCGUAUAUUAAAGUUGUUGCAGUUAAAAAAGCUCGUAGUUGAAUUUCGGGGUUAGUAGGUUGGUCAUGCCUCCGGUAUGUACUGAUCUCACUGAUUCCUCCUUCCUUAUGAACCGUAAUGCCGUUAAUUUGGUGUUGCGGGGAAUUUGGACUGUUACUUUGAAAAAAUUAGAGUGUUUAAAGCAAGCUAACGCUUGAAUACAUUAGCAUGGAAUAAUGAAAUAGGACGUUCGAUCCUAUUUUGUUGGUUUCUAGGAUUGACGUAAUGAUUAAUAGGGAUAGUUGGGGGCAUUAGUAUUCAAUUGUCAGAGGUGAAAUUCUUGGAUUUAUUGAAGACUAACUACUGCGAAAGCAUUUGCCAAGGAUGUUUUCAUUAAUCAAGAACGAAAGUUAGGGGAUCGAAGACGAUCAGAUACCGUCGUAGUCUUAACCAUAAACUAUGCCGACUAGGGAUCGGAUGAUGUUAAUUUUUAAUGACUCAUUCGGCGCCUUA
This 520-nucleotide ribosomal RNA is filed under the name uncultured Glomus. Its description in RNAcentral is "SSU rRNA". It matches the Rfam family "Eukaryotic small subunit ribosomal RNA", at positions 569 to 1090 of the family's 1831-position model. The record is from RNAcentral. Lineage: Eukaryota; Fungi; Glomeromycota; Glomeromycetes; Glomerales; Glomeraceae.